This 180-nucleotide non-coding RNA is filed under the name uncultured Phascolarctobacterium sp. Its description in RNAcentral is "raiA RNA". It matches the Rfam family "raiA RNA", at positions 11 to 197 of the family's 209-position model. Lineage: Bacteria; Bacillati; Bacillota; Negativicutes; Acidaminococcales; Acidaminococcaceae. The record is from RNAcentral.
AUCUGUGGUUGAAAAUCGAUGCCAGUUGCGGGCGAAACGAUCCACGUAAGCAAAAAAAUUUUUGUGAGCAUGGCGCAGCUUAGAAGUAAGUCCUGCCGCAAUAGCGAGAGAAAUAGUAGUGGGGAGCAAAGGCUUAGGAGCGAAAUUUCCAGCAGGCGAGUGUGGGGGCAAAGACCAGGG